This 99-nucleotide transfer RNA is filed under the name Candidatus Roizmanbacteria bacterium. RNAcentral describes it as "tRNA-Phe". The record is from RNAcentral. Lineage: Bacteria; Candidatus Roizmaniibacteriota.
GCGGAGAUUGAAAUGAUGGUCUUUGUAACCUGUGUAAGGUUACUUACAGCAAAUCUAAAAAAAAUUAGAUAAACGUAGGUUCGAUUCCUGCUCUCCGCA